RNAcentral lists this ribosomal RNA (489 nucleotides) under uncultured bacterium. Its description in RNAcentral is "bacterial SSU rRNA". It matches the Rfam family "Bacterial small subunit ribosomal RNA", at positions 29 to 494 of the family's 1533-position model. The record is from RNAcentral.
AACUAACGCUGGCGGCGUGCCUAACACAUGCAAGUCGUACGAGAAAGUUGGCUUCGGCCGAUGAGUAAAGUGGCGCACGGGUGAGUAAUGCGUGGAUAAUCUGCCCUUUAGUUGGGAAUAACGUACCGAAAGGUGCGCUAAUACCUGAUAAUACUGCAUAACUACUGUUGUGUAGUCAAAGAAGGCCUCUGUUUACAAGCUUUUGCUGAAGGAUGAGUCCGCGUACCAUUAGCUGGUUGGUGGGGUAAUGGCCUACCAAGGCUACGAUGGUUAGCUGGUCUGAGAGGAUGAUCAGCCACACUGGAACUGAGACACGGUCCAGACUCCUACGGGAGGCAGCAGUGAGGAAUAUUGCGCAAUGGGGGCAACCCUGACGCAGCAACGCCGCGUGAGUGAGGAAGGUUUUCGGACCGUAAAGCUCUGUCGAGCGGGAAGAAAUGUAUCAUGGCUAAUAUCCAUGAUACUUGACGGUACCGCUAAAGGAGCACC